Molecule: ribosomal RNA, 254 nt
Filed under: uncultured bacterium
Lineage: Bacteria
Description: partial 16S ribosomal RNA
Rfam family: Bacterial small subunit ribosomal RNA
Source: RNAcentral
UACGUAGGGUGCGAGCGUUGUCCGGAAUUAUUGGGCGUAAAGAGCUCGUAGGCGGUGUGUCACGUCGGCCGUGAAAACCUGCAGCUUAACUGUGGGCGUGCGGUCGAUACGGGCAUCACUGGAGUUCGGCAGGGGAGACUGGAAUUCCUGGUGUAGCGGUGAAAUGCGCAGAUAUCAGGAGGAACACCGGUGGCGAAGGCGCCACUCUGGGCCGGUACUGACGCUGAGGAGCGAAAGCGUGGGUAGCAAACAGG